GAGCAUCCGGUCGGGAAGGAUUAGUGUGAGCAUAUGGGUUUUGGGUAGGGUAGGGAAAUAGUGUAAGCAGGGGUACUACGGGAAUAAAAAAAUUAUAUCUCUCACUUGACUAGUUUAACUAAUAGAAUAUAAUGAAAAGGUUGGACAGUGUGACUUAUGAGGUGAUGGAAGUAAAUCACAGGGAUUAACUAAUUGAUUUUUCAAAAUACAUGACAUUACCUGGGGAUUAAAUAUUAAUUAUCCCAAGAAAUUACAAUAUGGAUGCUAUGUCAUUGUUGUGCUAAACUAUUUUUAUUUUUAUUUUCUACUUUGUUAUAGAAG
This 321-nucleotide unclassified non-coding RNA is filed under the name Hevea brasiliensis (rubber tree). The record is from RNAcentral. Lineage: Eukaryota; Viridiplantae; Streptophyta; Magnoliopsida; Malpighiales; Euphorbiaceae.